AACGACUCUUGGUGAUGGAUAUCUCGGCUCUCUCAUUGAUGAAGAAUGUAGCGAAAUACGAUACGUGGUGUGAAUUGCAGAAUCGCGUGAACCAUCAAGUCUUUGGACACUAGUUGCCCCUGAGGCCAUUAGGCCAAGGGCACGCCAGCUUGGG
This 154-nucleotide ribosomal RNA is filed under the name Kalanchoe mocambicana. RNAcentral describes it as "5.8S ribosomal RNA". It matches the Rfam family "5.8S ribosomal RNA". From Rfam's summary of the family: 5.8S ribosomal RNA (5.8S rRNA) is a component of the large subunit of the eukaryotic ribosome. Lineage: Eukaryota; Viridiplantae; Streptophyta; Magnoliopsida; Saxifragales; Crassulaceae. The record is from RNAcentral.